Molecule: ribosomal RNA, 1017 nt
Filed under: Triticum aestivum (bread wheat)
Lineage: Eukaryota; Viridiplantae; Streptophyta; Magnoliopsida; Poales; Poaceae
Description: partial small subunit ribosomal RNA
Source: RNAcentral
AUGGGCGCCACCCCCAGCCACUCGUCGCCGGCGGACGAGAUGCCGCUCCACGUGAGCAUCUCCGGCUACUCCAACCUGAUGCGGGUGCCUCUGCCUCGCCCGGAGACUGUCCGCAUAUUCUCCUUCGGUGAUAUCUUGUGGGAGGUCACAGUGAAACCGACGGGGUUCAACGAAGGCCUAGCGGACGGCCUCCACGUCUCGGUCGACCUCCACUCCCGAUUCAGGUACAAACCAGACGUGGUGCUCGAAGGCAUCGACAUCUCCAUGGAAGUCCUUGACGAGGCCGGCGAGAACACCGUCUUCCACCGGGAGAGCAGCGGGAUGCUGGAAUCCUCGAGGUUCUUGAAUCUCUUCCUGUCCAGGAGGGAGCUGGAGGCAUCGUCGUGCGUCCGCGACGACAGCUUCACCGUCAGGUGCACUCUGACGAAGCAGCGGUCUACAAAGUGGUGGCGCCUCUUCUCCAAAUCUGACGAGCUCGCGGUCUUGGAGCCGCAGGUCGCCAUGGCCGGAUCCAACAUGAUCACCAUCGGCAGCUUCUCCAAGCUCAAGGCCGCGCUCCGGGGAGGGGAGUGCACCUACUCCACCCACUUCGCUGUGGCAGGGUGCAGAUGGUACUUCCAAUUCUGUCCCAAUGGCAAUGGGCUAAUUGGCCUUGUACGCGUGAGUAAUGGCACGACGCCGACAACGGCGGAGUUCAGUUUUGAGCUCGAGGGGGUGGUCAAUUUUGAGUCCGAAAAGAUGACUCACACGUUCAACCAUGCCAACAAAAUGUACUUAUAUAGAUGCAGGCUGGAGCCAAGCACGUCGGCCAUGGAGGAUCGCCUCAUUGUUCGGUGCCGCCUCGCCGUUAUAAUGGCGGAAAAGCUGAGCAUACCCUCUGCCGCCAUUACGGUGGAGAAGAUUCCUCGAAAAAUAUUGGUGGAGAAGCCAAGCUUGCCCCCCGACGCGAUUCGGAUCGCUACCACCCCGUGCACCGAAUCAAUGCUAACUCCUCUACUGAGCGCCAUGUAUGAUUGA